GCCCUCUUAGUAUAACUAAUACUAAUGAUUUCCACUCAUUCCACCUCAGCUCAACCCCGAGAGAGGGUA
RNAcentral lists this transfer RNA (69 nucleotides) under Caecilia gracilis (graceful caecilian). Its description in RNAcentral is "tRNA-Gly". The record is from RNAcentral. Lineage: Eukaryota; Metazoa; Chordata; Amphibia; Gymnophiona; Caeciliidae.